AUUGAUAUUUAAUUUAAUUGGUAUUAAUAACAUAUACUCUAACUUUUAAAACGCAAGAGUUACCCGUCACUUGUUUGAUUGGACUGAUAACUCAUAUUUCAUCAAAAAUAAUAAUAAUAUGAAAUAAAAAUAGUUUAUUUAUAUUAAUAGGGGAGUAAGCCUACAACUUCAUGAUCUAUGUUUUUAUAAUUAAGAGAUUCUUGUUUAUAGAGGUUUUGAAAAUACUGAAUUUUGUUUGAUAAAUUGGAAGUGUUUAACACUAAGUAGAUAGGAAUUUGCAUAAGUUGUAGCAAUACGUUUUAUUUAGUUGUAUAAUUUACAUUUCAGAAUUUAGAAUAAUUUUUAUAAAAAAAGAAAUUGAACAAGCUGACUAACUAAAAGUAAGAAAGGGCCACAACUUGUAGUACACAAAAUGUAAUAGUAGACUUCAUUUGCGGACAUGCAUCACCAGUGUUCCAAAACUGUCAAGUUGAGGCCUGAAACGUGACAUAGCAAUGUUAUAAUUGUUCUGUCAAUGGAAGGACAGAGCAAUGUUAUAACUGCUCAACAACGUGAUAAGUCGGGCGAAAGUUUGGGAUUUUCAAUUCAAAAAUGUGAAAAUAUACUAAAUAUGUACUCAUAUACUAAAUAUACUAAAAAGUAUUUUUGUGAAUUUAUUUGAGUUUAUGUAUGUUAACGUGUAUGGCCGUUUGAUAUGGGAAGUGGAUGUUUAUUUUUGGCCAAGGGAGAUAGUAGUGUUGCUAAUAUUGUUUUUUUGAACGACUUGAUCCCUCAUUGAAGGUUUAGUUCUAUAUUAAACUUGUCUGUAAUUUGAAGAAGUCAUCGAGCAAAGCCUUGGGUGGCUUUGUUUGUAUGUAUCUUUGUUUGGUUUGGUUAAAUGAUUUUUAAAGGUAAUAUGUUGAAUUGAUCAAUGGAUGUGAAAGGAUGAUCAAGAAACUAUGUUCAUGAAAAUUUUGAAAUUUGUGUUCAACUUUUAUGCAAAAGAUGAGCAGAAUUACGAUCCUUUCAAAGCCUUUUUUUUUCACCACCAUAUUUUCUCUCAGCUAUUGUAAAGUGAUUGGUUUAGUUACAUUUCACGUAAACUUUAGUGAUAAUCAAAAUAUUUUAUCUUAAUGACAUUAGACCCUUGACUUUGUAUUGUAUCUCACAUUUUUUCUUCUAGUUAUUUCUUAGGUUCUUUAAAAAAUAAUUACUGUAUUUAACUAAAUUAGAUAUGCCAUAUUUUAUUUCUUGUUCCAAGUACCAAAGAGCCUAGGCACGACAAUGUGUGUAUUCACUCUUUAAUGGUUCUAUAACAAAAUUUUAGUGAAAAUGGUGUUGUUUGUUUUAGGCUAUUUAUCAAUAUCUUCGAGGUUCAUGAUUCUAUUUGUUAUUUCAUUUUGAUAUUAUUCUGCCAUGCCCUUUACCCAUUUUGCACCACCUCCAUCAUGAGGUUUGAUAUUGAUAUCCAUUAGAAAAUAUUAUGAAAACAUCUUUGACACAAAAAAUUAUGAAACCAAAUGUAAUAUUCAACAAACUAAAAUUU
RNAcentral lists this small RNA (1525 nucleotides) under Arabidopsis thaliana (thale cress). RNAcentral describes it as "ATSL105640". The record is from RNAcentral. Lineage: Eukaryota; Viridiplantae; Streptophyta; Magnoliopsida; Brassicales; Brassicaceae.